RNAcentral lists this transfer RNA (69 nucleotides) under Clostridium botulinum. RNAcentral's name for it is "tRNA-Arg". It matches the Rfam family "tRNA". From Rfam's summary of the family: Transfer RNA (tRNA) molecules are approximately 80 nucleotides in length. Lineage: Bacteria; Bacillati; Bacillota; Clostridia; Eubacteriales; Clostridiaceae. The record is from RNAcentral. RNAcentral also lists the same sequence under 1 other name.
GUUUUUAGCUCAGCUGGAUAGAGCAACGCCCUUCUAAGGCGUGGGCCAGGGGUUCGAAUCCCUUAAAAC